RNAcentral lists this ribosomal RNA (871 nucleotides) under uncultured rumen bacterium. Its description in RNAcentral is "bacterial SSU rRNA". It matches the Rfam family "Bacterial small subunit ribosomal RNA", at positions 8 to 887 of the family's 1533-position model. The record is from RNAcentral.
AGAGUUUGAUCCUGGCUCAGGACGAACGCUGGCGGCGUGCUUAACACAUGCAAGUCGAACGAGGAUGCAGGAGAGCUUGCUCGAAUGUAUCCGAGUGGCGGACGGGUGAGUAACGCGUGAACAAUCUGUCUCAUACAGGGGGAUAACGCAUCGAAAGAUGUGCUAAUACCGCGUAGGACCACGGGUUCGCAUGGGCCUGAGGUGAAAGACGAAAGUCGGUAUGAGGUGAGUUCGCGUCUGAUUAGAUAGUUGGUGAGGUAACGGCCCACCAAGUCAACGAUCAGUAGCCGACCUGAGAGGGUGAUCGGCCACAUUGGGACUGAGACACGGCCCAGACUCCUACGGGAGGCAGCAGUGGGGAAUAUUGGGCAAUGGGCGCAAGCCUGACCCAGCAACGCCGCGUGAAGGAAGAAGGUUUUCGGAUCGUAAACUUCUGUCCUAUGUGAAGAUAGUGACGGUAGCAUAGGAGGAAGCCCCGGCUAACUACGUGCCAGCAGCCGCGGUAAUACGUAGGGGGCGAGCGUUGUCCGGAAUGAUUGGGCGUAAAGGGCGCGUAGGCGGCUUGAUAAGUCUGGAGUGAAAGUCCUGUUUUCAAGAUGGGAAUUGCUUUGGAUACUGUUGAGCUUGAGUGCAGGAGAGGUUAUCGGAAUUCCCAGUGUAGCGGUGAAAUGCGUAGAGAUCGGGAGGAACACCAGUGGCGAAGGCGGGUAACUGGACUGCAACUGACGCUGAGGCGCGAAAGUGUGGGGAGCAAACAGGAUUAGAUACCCUGGUAGUCCACACUGUAAACGAUGAAUGCUAGGUGUAAGAGGUAUCGACCCCUUUUGUGCCGGAGUCAACACAAUAAGCAUUCCGCCUGGGGAGUACGGCC